CCUACGGUGGGCAGCAGUGGGGAAUAUUGGGCAAUGGGCGCAAGCCUGACCCAGCGACGCCGCGUGAGGGAAGAAGGCUUUCGGGUUGUAAACUUCUUUUAGCAGGGACGAAACAAGUAAGGUUACUGCAGAAGUAACCAACGCCUAACUAGGUGCCAGCACCCGCGGAAUUACGUAGGUGGCAAGCGUUUUCCGGAUUUACUGGGUGUAAAGGGUGUGUGGGCGGGAGUGCAGGUCAGAUGUGAAAACUAUGGCCUCAACCCAUACCCUGCAUUUGAAACUGUAGUUCUUGAGUGUUGGAGAGGCAAACGGAAUUCCCGGUGUAGCGGUGAAAUGCGUAGAUAUCAGGAGGAACACCAGUGGCGAAGGCGGUUUGCUGGACCGUAACUGACGCUGAGGCGCGAAAGCGUGGGGAGCAAACAGGAUUAGAUACCCGUGUAGUC
RNAcentral lists this ribosomal RNA (443 nucleotides) under uncultured bacterium. RNAcentral's name for it is "partial 16S ribosomal RNA". It matches the Rfam family "Bacterial small subunit ribosomal RNA", at positions 338 to 795 of the family's 1533-position model. The record is from RNAcentral.